Molecule: non-coding RNA, 2635 nt
Organism: Delphinapterus leucas (beluga whale)
Lineage: Eukaryota; Metazoa; Chordata; Mammalia; Artiodactyla; Monodontidae
Source: RefSeq, a predicted model, not a curated record
AAAUUUUCAUCAAGUGCUUCUGUAUGUAUUGAGACUGAAAAGUGACCAAAACUUUUCACUAUAAAAGCUUCAGUAUCACAGGGACAUCAUGGUGUCCUCAGAAAGUACACACAUACUUCUAAGAAGAUGUGACAGUCUGCACUGAUAUGAGCUGCAAGGUAAUUAUUCCAGGAAUACUGCGAUAGCUCACAGAAUUCAAGUAGAAGUUAAACAAUAAAGCCUGAGAAGAGGUAAGAACUGUAUAAACUCCAGCAACCUUAGAACAUUCUCAUUCAUGUGACUCAGCUCCUGAGUCUCAGGUUCUGGCUUUCUUUAGUCAGAUUCUUAAGAUUAGCUUUCUGAUUGGCUCACACUGGUUUUAUCAUUCAUAGCUUCCAGGUCCGGAUAUCAGGGCAGUUCUUAGGGAAGGGCUGUGAAGACAGAUAAUGUGUCCUCCUACAUUCCAUCCUUGGUUUCCCAGUAUCUACAUCUUUCCCAUUCACAGGGAAGGUGCCCAAUCCAGUUACCCCAUCUGCUACUAUUAUGCCCUCAGGUAGAGACAACAAAUAUCACAUCCAUAAACUGCUUAUAAUAAACAUCAGAGGGCCACUGUUUUCAGAGUAUACUUUGUCCAUCACACUCUUGUUAGACAUUUUUGCAAAUUAUGGACCCAGCUGAAAGUUUGAGUAUGACCAUACAAAAGAAGAAAAAGGAAGAGAGAAAACAACAAAGCAAACAAACAAAAAAAACCCCAAAACUUCUUUUUCAAAAAGACAUUUAUAAUAGACAUCUGAUGCACCGUUCACAGCUCCCUGUAAGACCUGAGAACUUACUCCCUUUAGCUGCUGAUAGAGCUUCAUGCUGACAGCAUGCAGGUCUUCUCUGGAAACUGCUCUUGGCUAAAGUGACUCAUUUAGCCCAAAGUUAUUUCCCCCUCCUGGGUCAGGCUGCAUCCAAUUACCUGUCAAUGUGGGGAUAUAAAGGCCUGGCCCCUUCUCUCUACCUCCACAGGGUCAUCCCAGAGUCAGAGCUCCCUUGGGAUUGGCUAAAGCCCUGCUGUGACUGCACUGCAGCUCAACUUCUGCUCAAAUUCUCUUUGCCACAAUGACUGAUCCACGCAUUCUCCAGUAAACUCCUUGCAUGCUUAUCUCUGUCUCAGAGUCUGCUUUCCCAGUUAUCUGACCUACAAUAGCAUAAUAUAUGAGAUCUUCUAUUUUAACCCCCCAGACAUUAAAAAUAAUGAAUGAACCCUGCUCAUAUGGCUCUGCUAAGAAAUUAAGCUAUUUUUUUUUUAUUUUUUAGCCUUUCCACUCUUCCCAGAUGGACCAUUUGGAUCAGCUACUCCUUGGAGUAAAAAAUGAAGUAUUUCUCUUUCUCUGAUGAAAAGUUAGUUUAUAUCAUUAGACAGUAAGGGCACAAUAACAUAAUGAUCAGAUAUAUAGGGCAGAAGACCAGGUGGGGUUUCUCUUCUGAUUGAUUGUUCUGGUCUACUUAGACAACCGUUUCUCAAUACACCCUUUUUUUUUUUUGCCUUUGGUCCCUGUCAAGUUUGUGGGGCUGCUCGUGUCUUCAACUGACGGAUAAUAUAGGCACCACUGGCACUACCUUAAGUGGCUACAAUGGGACACAUUUUAACUUAUUAAAAACAGAAUCUUUUGAAAAGUAUACAAAAGAAAUACAUGUAUAAGGUGUAUAUGAUUCAAUUUAUGGGCUUAUAAAGUGUAGCACUCUUUCCACUGGUCUAAUCCAAGAUCACUUGUCUUUUCAUUGGGUAGCAUGGAAGCUCACUGGACUAGUCUUUCUAUGAUGAACAGUAUUAAAUUUUUGUAGCAGUUUUCCUCAUUUUUUUGUAUUGUGUACUUGAAACAUUGCAGGUUGGCAGAAGACAGCCAGCAUGUAGCAAGUGUAUUUAAGGUUAAAUAUAACCAGUAUGCAGGGAAUCAGCCAAAAGGCAAAAACAGUUCAUGAGUCUACCUUCAGUACAAGAAGAAUCCAGUUUCUUAGACAUGUGGAAGUUUUUAGGCAGCAAAGGUAAAGGUGUGUACCUCUCGGAAAGCAUGUAGUGAAGUUUGGGUAGAACAAAUAGCAUGGAUGGUCAGUGUACUUGGGCCCUCACACCUGCUUGAAGGCUGCAGGAUGUGACACUCAGCCCUUACCUUUCUUUGGGGGAGGAGGGGCCCUGCCAUCACAGGAAUUUCUAUCUUUGGACUCUGUUGGUCCUUGAGUUCCUCCAUGGGUGGACUGUCUUUUGUUUCCUUAAUUCAUGCAUAAGCCUCAGUUUCUUCUCUAGGAUCUGACCAGUAUCUGACUUGUUCUUCUGAGUUUCACUACCCACUUUAUCCAUAAACACUGCUCUAAUUUCUAGUAGGUUUAGGCUGUCAACAGAGGCUGACAUCACUAUGGAUUUGUGCUGUGGAUCUUCCUGUACCUUCCCAGUUUUCUGUGGAUGAAGCAUCUGACACAAACAUUUCAUCCGGUUUUUAAAGUUAUUCUUUCAUGGAACCUGUAGCACGAACUGGGGAGACUUGCUCGCAGGGAUCUCUGCUAAUUCCCUGUCCUGGACAAGAUUUUUGUGGAAGAGAAAUUCUCCUAUCCAGUUUCAUUUUUCCAUCUGAUGAAGAAAAUUCCUCAGAAUUUUAUAUCCACUGCAAUAUGG